This 870-nucleotide ribosomal RNA is filed under the name Discosia fici. RNAcentral describes it as "partial large subunit ribosomal RNA". It matches the Rfam family "Eukaryotic large subunit ribosomal RNA", at positions 61 to 960 of the family's 3401-position model. The record is from RNAcentral. Lineage: Eukaryota; Fungi; Ascomycota; Sordariomycetes; Amphisphaeriales; Sporocadaceae.
GAAACCAACAGGGAUUGCCCUAGUAACGGCGAGUGAAGCGGCAACAGCUCAAAUUUGAAAUCUGGCCCUUGGGUCCGAAUUGUAAUUUGUAGAGGAUGUUUUUGGUGCGGUAUCUUCCGAGUUCCUUGGAACAGGACGCCUUAGAGGGUGAGAGCCCCGUACGGUUGAAUGCCUAGCCUUUGUAAAACUCCUUCGACGAGUCGAGUAGUUUGGGAAUGCUGCUCUAAAUGGGAGGUAAAUUUCUUCUAAAGCUAAAUACUGGCCAGAGACCGAUAGCGCACAAGUAGAGUGAUCGAAAGAUGAAAAGCACUUUGAAAAGAGGGUUAAAUAGCACGUGAAAUUGUUGAAAGGGAAGGAUUUAUGACCAGACUUUUUCUAAGCGGAUCAUCCGGUGUUCUCACCGGUGCACUUCGUUUAGUUUAGGCCAGCAUCGAUUUUCGGUGGGGGAUAAAAGCUUUAGGAAUGUGGCUCUUCGGAGUGUUAUAGCCUAUUGUAUAAUACCCUGCUGGGGAUCGAGGUACGCGCUUCUGCAAGGAUGCUGGCGUAAUGGUUAUCAAUCACCCGUCUUGAAACACGGACCAAGGAGUCGAACAUUUGUGCAAGUGUUUGGGUGUUAAACCCUCACGCGUAAUGAAAGUGAACGGAGGUGAGAGCCCUUACGGGUGCAUCAUCGACCGAUCCUGAUGUUUUCGGAUGGAUUUGAGUAAGAGCAUAACUGUUCGGACCCGAAAGAUGGUGAACUAUGCGUGGAUAGGGUGAAGCCAGAGGAAACUCUGGUGGAGGCUCGCAGCGGUUCUGACGUGCAAAUCGAUCGUCAAAUCUGCGCAUGGGGGCGAAAGACUAAUCGAACCAUCUAGUAGCUGGUUACCG